This 270-nucleotide ribosomal RNA is filed under the name uncultured prokaryote. RNAcentral describes it as "partial 16S ribosomal RNA". It matches the Rfam family "Bacterial small subunit ribosomal RNA", at positions 524 to 792 of the family's 1533-position model. The record is from RNAcentral.
AACGUAGGAGGCAAGCGUUAUCCGGAUUUACUGGGCGUAAAGCGUGUGUAGGCGGUAUGGUAAGUCGGACGUGAAAGCUCCUGGCUCAACUGGGAGAGGCCGUUCGAAACUUCCAAACUUGAGGGCAGUAGAGGGAGGUGGAAUUCCGGGUGUAGCGGUGAAAUGCGUAGAUAUCCGGAGGAACACCAGUGGCGAAGGCGGCCUCCUGGACUGUCCCUGACGCUCAGACACGAAAGCUAGGGGAGCAAACGGGAUUAAGAUACCCCGGUA